CAAAAUUUUGUCUCGGACUCCAAAUUGAGCAUUUCGAAGAUGGUAUAUUUGUACAUUGAUAACACUGUAUUUUACUCAUUUUAGGUGUAUGUUUAUCAUCAUUUAGCUAUGCAUUUGCUCAUUGUAUCAUAUCAUUUUACACCAUUUUAGAUUAUUUUGCAUACUUAGGCAUCUAGGAUCAUCUUGCAUACGCAUUGCAUGUUUGGUGUGUUUUCAGGUGCAGAAGGAGCUAAAAAGGACUCUACUCGAUCCAUUCACUCGAUCCAGGCAGCUACCGAGGAGGCUGCAGUUUACUCGACCCUCUUACUCGAUCAAGGCAGCCUCAGAUGAAGCAGUAGAUUGAUCUACUCGCCCCUCCUACUCGAUCCUCUACUCGACCCAUUUACUCGACCAAGGGUGACCAACUCUACAAGACUUGUUGAGCUAUCAAAGCGUCUUCGGAUCCUCCUCAUUCCCCACUCAACUAGACAUCUGAGCAUACAGAUAGGAGAGGAAGAAGCAUCUACUCGACCAAUUGAUCACUCGGAGCAUUGAUACAAAGGCGCAGACUUUGCAGCACCCUCCUUACUCGAUCCCCAAGAUCGAGCAUCCGCCCAAACCGCCUCAAGUCUCUUGUCUUCUAAUGAAUCUAGGGUUUCAACAUUUUACUAUAAAUAGAUCCCUUUGGGGUUUGUCCAAAGGAUCAAGCUUUUUUCUUUCAGUUUUUCUUUGUUUUCUUGAAUCUUCAAACCUUAAU
RNAcentral lists this small RNA (736 nucleotides) under Arabidopsis thaliana (thale cress). RNAcentral's name for it is "ATSL265690". Lineage: Eukaryota; Viridiplantae; Streptophyta; Magnoliopsida; Brassicales; Brassicaceae. The record is from RNAcentral.